UGUAAAAAAAUUCAUCAAUUUCUACUGUUAAAAACUAGCGUGAUUAACAGAAUAACCAAACAGUUACAUGUGGCGCGUCAAGUGUAUUUCAUGCAAACAUAUAUGGACCAGUUAAUAACGGUAAAAAUGGAUGGAAAUUUUAAUA
RNAcentral lists this microRNA precursor (145 nucleotides) under Gossypium hirsutum (cotton). RNAcentral describes it as "MIR7502 microRNA precursor family". It matches the Rfam family "MIR7502 microRNA precursor family". The record is from Rfam by way of RNAcentral. Lineage: Eukaryota; Viridiplantae; Streptophyta; Magnoliopsida; Malvales; Malvaceae.